Molecule: non-coding RNA, 46 nt
Organism: Schistosoma haematobium
Lineage: Eukaryota; Metazoa; Platyhelminthes; Trematoda; Strigeidida; Schistosomatidae
Source: Rfam
GCACUGCUGAGGAGUCCCAUAAUAGGAUGAUACGGCCGUCCAGUGC